RNAcentral lists this transfer RNA (479 nucleotides) under Caldora penicillata BCBC12-2. RNAcentral's name for it is "partial 16S-23S ribosomal RNA intergenic spacer". The stretch from base 165 to 238 matches the Rfam family "tRNA". Lineage: Bacteria; Bacillati; Cyanobacteriota; Cyanophyceae; Coleofasciculales; Coleofasciculaceae. The record is from RNAcentral.
UUAGGGAGACCUAAGGCACAUACCAAGUAGUAGUGGAAAGGGAAGAGAUAUCCUGAGUAAGCGAUGAAUAUAUAAGCUUGGAUGUUUAGCCUAAUCCCAAGGUCGAAACGAGUGAUGGGAGCAAGAGUUUCAAACUAUUGGUUAGGUUCGUAACCAUUAAUCAAGGGCUAUUAGCUCAGGUGGUUAGAGCGCACCCCUGAUAAGGGUGAGGUCCCUGGUUCAAGUCCAGGAUGGCCCACCAGAUAAUUACCAUUAUCGGAGCAAGAGAACAGCAUCUGUACCAACACGCUAAUCAGGAUAACUGAGGAAGAGGGUGGUAGGGAUGCUGGAGGACUACUCCAGUAAAUGAACCUUGAAAACUGCAUAGCCAGAUGUCUGCCCAGCAGGUGAGUAUCUGACGAGACAAUUAUGAUUGGAUCGUUUGAACGAACUGCAAGCAAGAAAAAGAACAAUUGGUCAAGCUAACAAGAGCUAAUGGU